GCUCCGGAGCUAUUCGUUGCUGUCGGUCAUUACCGUUAUCGCCAAUCGCUGCUGAACCUCCGGGCUCUCUUUCGCCGCCGUGGUCUCGCUGGCCGAUCAUUGCCAUUUUAUCGCUCACCGUUAGUCGUUUCUUAGGGGUCUGUUUUCUCAAGCAUUCUUGUCGAGGGAAAAAAAAAGGGAAAGAAGAAACAAGAAAGGAUAAGGGAGAAGAGAGGAAGUGACUGCUGGCAUGGAUAAACGCCGGUGAUUGUUUGAAAAUUUUGUUGGAGGGUUGAAACAUCUCACCAAAAAAGUUGGAAAGAAGUAGCAAUGAGUAACAUACUGUUUUAGACUGAUUUAUGGGUAUUGAUUUGAAGAGGAGCAAUCAACAAUGAGUUGGGUGAACUGCAGUUGUAGAAGAAGGCUAGAAGCAUAACCAGUUUGGAACAAUUUUUGGUUUCUGCAAAAGGGAGGCAAAAAUGUGAAGUUUAAUGCCAAAGAAGGUUUAACCAGUUUGUUGUGAAUUUUGGUAUUUUAUGUUGUUACAGGUGUCGCUUUACUAUGACUAGUAUUUACUAGUUGCAACUGCUAAUCCCAAGCCCCUCCCAUGACCUCAUCAUCUCAUCAGUACUUUUCUCUCAUGGAGCUUGCUCUUCCCAAACAAAUGAAGUAUAAUAUUAAGUGAAUAUCAAUUUGUAACUGUGCCCAUGCAUGAAAUACCCACCAAUGAAGCUCAAAACAGAAAGGAUCAUAGGAUGGAUGUUACCUUACAAAAGGAGUUUGAAGCUUACAGAAGAAGCUGCUGCCUUGGCAGUUCCUAAAUUGAAGAAAAAUCGCCAACCAUGACCGGUACCCACCUAAAAACCGAUCCAAUCCACAGGGAUGUUCUUAAAAAUACAAUAUUUUUAUUAGGGCUUAAAAUUUACAUCUCGAAUGAGUAGCCUAGUUGAUAAGAUUGAUGUUAUAACUCUCGGGGGUAUAGGUUGAGCGAUCGGAUAAGUAAUAUGUUAGUGUCAAUUUGGUG
Molecule: long non-coding RNA, 1003 nt
Organism: Diospyros lotus (date-plum)
Lineage: Eukaryota; Viridiplantae; Streptophyta; Magnoliopsida; Ericales; Ebenaceae
Exons: 5
Source: RefSeq, a predicted model, not a curated record